RNAcentral lists this ribosomal RNA (253 nucleotides) under uncultured bacterium. Its description in RNAcentral is "partial 16S ribosomal RNA". It matches the Rfam family "Bacterial small subunit ribosomal RNA", at positions 524 to 776 of the family's 1533-position model. The record is from RNAcentral.
UACAGAGGGUGCGAGCGUUGUUCGGAAUUACUGGGCGUAAAGGGCGCGUAGGCGGAUAGUUCAGUCGGGGGUGAAAGCCCGGGGCUCAACCUCGGAACUGCCUUCGAUACUGGCUAUCUUGAGUACGGGAGAGGUGUGUGGAACUCCGAGUGUAGAGGUGAAAUUCGUAGAUAUUCGGAAGAACACCAGUGGCGAAGGCGACUCUCUGGGCCUUUCCUGACGCUGAGACGCGAAAGCGUGGGGAGCGAACCGG